CUGCCAAUAGCUCAGUUGGAUAGAGCACUCGCCUUCUAAGCGAGCGGUCGGGGGUUCGAAUCCCUCUUGGCAGGCCA
This 77-nucleotide transfer RNA is filed under the name Burkholderiales bacterium. Its description in RNAcentral is "tRNA-Arg". It matches the Rfam family "tRNA". Rfam says of the family: Transfer RNA (tRNA) molecules are approximately 80 nucleotides in length. Their secondary structure includes four short double-helical elements and three loops (D, anti-codon, and T loops). Lineage: Bacteria; Pseudomonadati; Pseudomonadota; Betaproteobacteria; Burkholderiales. The record is from RNAcentral.